Molecule: ribosomal RNA, 253 nt
Filed under: uncultured bacterium
Lineage: Bacteria
Description: partial 16S ribosomal RNA
Rfam family: Bacterial small subunit ribosomal RNA
Source: RNAcentral
UACGAGAGGCCCAAACGUUAUUCGGAAUUACUGGGCUUAAAGAGUUCGUAGGCGGCAUGAAAAGUAGGGUGUGAAAGCCCUCGGCUCAACCGAGGAAUUGCGCUCUAAACUGUCGUGCUCGAGGAACCUAGAGGUGAGCAGAACAGAUGGUGGAGCGGUGAAAUGCGUUGAUAUCAUUUGGAACGCCAAUGGUGAAAACAGCUCGCUGGGGGUGCACUGACACUGAGACACGAAAGCCAGGGGAGCGAACGGG